UCGGACGUGGUGUAGUGCAACACGGCCUCUUUCUCUGCAGGAAUUGACACACACGUAUGCGGGAGGCAAUCCCGGGUUCAACUUCCGGCGUCCGAA
This is a non-coding RNA of Mycena metata, 96 nucleotides long. The record is from the annotation of a GenBank genome assembly. NCBI's taxonomy places the organism in Eukaryota, Fungi, Basidiomycota, Agaricomycetes, Agaricales, Mycenaceae.